UUUGAACAUUAUUUUAGAAAAAAUAUUAAAUACAAAACAAAUAAAACAGUAUUCAUGCUUCAAAGCUUAAAAAGCGACUCUGUUGAGGAAAUAUUUUUACAAAAAUAAUUUUGUGAUCAUGUUAUAGAUGGAGAAAUAGAUAUUACUAUAUUAAAGAGGGUUUAAUUUUUAUGGUAACUUAGAAUCAGGAUCCAGGUGAUUUAGUGGUUCUUUUAGAUGCAUAGGAAAACAAAUAUAAUUUUAAUGUUUUAAUUUAGAGGAUGAAGACUCAUGACCAAAAAUAGAAUGAGUGGCUAUUUAGUUAGAACUCAUGUGAUGAUGCUGCAAUGUCAUUUUAAUUUAGGGGAGCUAUUAAAAUCAUGUGUAUGUCUUGAUUAGACUUGAGUGAGUAAUGAUCAAGUAACAUUUGCGGUUGUCUUGUUGACCACAUUAUAUACGCAACUCAAUUGGUUGAUGAAUGGUUGUUUACCAUUUUGACUUACCCCUUUCCAUUUCUAUAUUAGUGCCUUCGCCAACUCAUACAGUAUAUUUUAAUGCUAUACUAAUUUCUCAUUUUUUUAUUUCUCAUAUUAAUAUAAUAUUCCUCUUUUUCUUUUAUAAGGAAGGAAUUUUAUUUUCCAUUUCAAAUAUUUGGCAUCGGACCCAGAGUUUCUUUCUUCCAGUAUUUUUUUUUUGAAAGUGCAGCAUUUUUCAAUGAAAUAUAGGGACGGUUUGACCAGAUUCCUAGAUUUUGCAUUUGCCAAUGCAUCAUCUGAUGGGAUGAUACGUUGUCCAUGUCCGAAGUGUGGUUUCCGCCUCUUACAAAAUAGAGAGGAUGCGUUCGAUCACUUGGUGAUCAACCCUUUCCCGUCUACUUACACAUUUUGGA
This is a non-coding RNA of Arachis ipaensis, 868 nucleotides long. The record is from RefSeq and is a predicted model, not a curated record. Lineage: Eukaryota; Viridiplantae; Streptophyta; Magnoliopsida; Fabales; Fabaceae.